RNAcentral lists this ribosomal RNA (253 nucleotides) under uncultured bacterium. Its description in RNAcentral is "partial 16S ribosomal RNA". It matches the Rfam family "Bacterial small subunit ribosomal RNA", at positions 524 to 776 of the family's 1533-position model. The record is from RNAcentral.
UACGGGGGGGGCAAGCGUUGUUCGGAAUUACUGGGCGUAAAGGGCUUGUAGGUGGCCAACUAAGUCAGACGUGAAAUCCCUCGGCUUAACCGGGGAACUGCGUCUGAUACUGGAUGGCUGGAGUGUGGGAGAGGGAUGCGGAAUUCCAGGUGUAGCGGUGAAAUGCGUAGAUAUCUGGAGGAACACCGGUGGCGAAGGCGGCGUUCUGGACUGCAACUGACACUGAGAAACGAAAGCCAGGGGAGCAAACGGG